Molecule: ribosomal RNA, 253 nt
Filed under: uncultured bacterium
Lineage: Bacteria
Description: partial 16S ribosomal RNA
Rfam family: Bacterial small subunit ribosomal RNA
Source: RNAcentral
UACGUAGGGUCCAAGCGUUAAUCGGAAUUACUGGGCGUAAAGCGUGCGCAGGCGGUUCUGAAAGUCAGCUGUGAAAGCCCCGGGCUCAACCUGGGAAUGGCAUUGGAAACUGGCGAGCUGGAGUGUGGCAGAGGGGGGUGGAAUUCCGCGUGUAGCAGUGAAAUGCGUAGAGAUGCGGAGGAACACCGAUGGCGAAGGCGGCCCCCUGGGCCAACACUGACGCUCAGGCACGAAAGCGUGGGGAGCAAACAGG